This 1081-nucleotide ribosomal RNA is filed under the name Fusarium oxysporum f. sp. ciceris. Its description in RNAcentral is "SSU rRNA". It matches the Rfam family "Eukaryotic small subunit ribosomal RNA", at positions 62 to 1155 of the family's 1831-position model. The record is from RNAcentral. Lineage: Eukaryota; Fungi; Ascomycota; Sordariomycetes; Hypocreales; Nectriaceae.
AGUAUAAGCAUUAUACCGCGAAACUGCGAAUGGCUCAUUAUAUAAGUUAUCGUUUAUUUGAUAGUACCUUACUACUUGGAUAACCGUGGUAAUUCUAGAGCUAAUACAUGCUAAAAAUCCCGACUUCGGAAGGGAUGUAUUUAUUAGAUUAAAAACCAAUGCCCUUCGGGGCUCACUGGUGAUUCAUGAUAACUCCUCGAAUCGCAUGGCCUUGUGCCGGCGAUGGUUCAUUCAAAUUUCUUCCCUAUCAACUUUCGAUGUUUGCCUAUUGGCCAAACAUGGUUGCAACGGGUAACGGAGGGUUAGGGCUCGACCCCGGAGAAGGAGCCUGAGAAACGGCUACUACAUCCAAGGAAGGCAGCAGGCGCGCAAAUUACCCAAUCCCGACACGGGGAGGUAGUGACAAUAAAUACUGAUACAGGGCUCUUUUGGGUCUUGUAAUUGGAAUGAGUACAAUUUAAAUCCCUUAACGAGGAACAAUUGGAGGGCAAGUCUGGUGCCAGCAGCCGCGGUAAUUCCAGCUCCAAUAGCGUAUAUUAAAGUUGUUGUGGUUAAAAAGCUCGUAGUUGAACCUUGGGCCUGGCUGGCCGGUCCGCCUCACCGCGUGUACUGGUCCGGCCGGGCCUUUCCCUCUGUGGAACCCCAUGCCCUUCACUGGGUGUGGCGGGGAAACAGGACUUUUACUGUGAAAAAAUUACAGUGCUCCAGGCAGGCCUAUGCUCGAAUACAUUAGCAUGGAAUAAUAGAAUAGGACGUGUGGUUCUAUUUUGUUGGUUUCUAGGACCGCCGUAAUGAUUAAUAGGGACAGUCGGGGGCAUCAGUAUUCAAUUGUCAGAGGUGAAAUUCUUGGAUUUAUUGAAGACUAACUACUGCGAAAGCAUUUGCCAAGGAUGUUUUCAUUAAUCAGGAACGAAAGUUAGGGGAUCGAAGACGAUCAGAUACCGUCGUAGUCUUAACCAUAAACUAUGCCGACUAGGGAUCGGACGGUGUUAUUUUUUGACCCGUUCGGCACCUUACGAGAAAUCAAAGUGCUUGGGCUCCAGGGGGGAGUAUGGUCGCAAGGCUGAAACUUAAGGAAUUG